This 536-nucleotide ribosomal RNA is filed under the name uncultured bacterium. Its description in RNAcentral is "bacterial SSU rRNA". It matches the Rfam family "Bacterial small subunit ribosomal RNA", at positions 777 to 1312 of the family's 1533-position model. The record is from RNAcentral.
AAUAGUACCCGGGUAGUCCACGCCGUAAACGAUGAGUGCUAAGUGUUGGGGGGUUUCCGCCCCUCAGUGCUGCAGCUAACGCAUUAAGCACUCCGCCUGGGGAGUACGGCCGCAAGGCUGAAACUCAAAGGAAUUGACGGGGGCCCGCACAAGCGGUGGAGCAUGUGGUUUAAUUCGAAGCAACGCGAAGAACCUUACCAGGUCUUGACAUCCCGCUGCCCGGUAUAGAGAUAUAUCUUUCCCUUCGGGGACAGCGGUGACAGGUGGUGCAUGGUUGUCGUCAGCUCGUGUCGUGAGAUGUUGGGUUAAGUCCCGCAACGAGCGCAACCCUUGAUCUUAGUUGCCAGCAUUUAGUUGGGCACUCUAAGGUGACUGCCGGUGACAAACCGGAGGAGGUGGGGAUGACGUCAAAUCAUCAUGCCCCUUAUGACCUGGGCUACACACGUGCUACAAUGGAUGGUACAAAGGGCUGCAAGACCGCGAGGUUUAGCCAAUCCCGAUAAAACCAUUCUCAGUUCGGAUUGCAGGCUGCAACG